This 521-nucleotide ribosomal RNA is filed under the name Saccharomyces cerevisiae (brewer's yeast). Its description in RNAcentral is "eukaryotic LSU rRNA". It matches the Rfam family "Eukaryotic large subunit ribosomal RNA", at positions 62 to 586 of the family's 3401-position model. The record is from RNAcentral. Lineage: Eukaryota; Fungi; Ascomycota; Saccharomycetes; Saccharomycetales; Saccharomycetaceae.
AAACCAACCGGGAUUGCCUUAGUAACGGCGAGUGAAGCGGCAAAAGCUCAAAUUUGAAAUCUGGUACCUUCGGUGCCCGAGUUGUAAUUUGGAGAGGGCAACUUUGGGGCCGUUCCUUGUCUAUGUUCCUUGGAACAGGACGUCAUAGAGGGUGAGAAUCCCGUGUGGCGAGGAGUGCGGUUCUUUGUAAAGUGCCUUCGAAGAGUCGAGUUGUUUGGGAAUGCAGCUCUAAGUGGGUGGUAAAUUCCAUCUAAAGCUAAAUAUUGGCGAGAGACCGAUAGCGAACAAGUACAGUGAUGGAAAGAUGAAAAGAACUUUGAAAAGAGAGUGAAAAAGUACGUGAAAUUGUUGAAAGGGAAGGGCAUUUGAUCAGACAUGGUGUUUUGUGCCCUCUGCUCCUUGUGGGUAGGGGAAUCUCGCAUUUCACUGGGCCAGCAUCAGUUUUGGUGGCAGGAUAAAUCCAUAGGAAUGUAGCUUGCCUCGGUAAGUAUUAUAGCCUGUGGGAAUACUGCCAGCUGGGA